This 848-nucleotide long non-coding RNA is filed under the name Equus caballus (horse). Its description in RNAcentral is "lncRNA (ENSECAG00000042644.2)". Lineage: Eukaryota; Metazoa; Chordata; Mammalia; Perissodactyla; Equidae. The record is from RNAcentral.
UACGGAUUCUUCCCUGGAAAGCUGAGGUUUUUUGCUGCGGGGAAGUAUAGAAAUAAAAAUGAGAGAGGGUGUGUAAAUGACAGUUUUCGACUUACCUUGCUGAAUGGGUUGGUUGCUGGAAGUCAGGGCUAUGGGGAGAGCUCUAAGCAGCCAGCUGGAGGACAGGCAUCGCUUAUGACAAAAGAGCUGGAUUUGGAGGUGCCUAGCAGGAAGUUUUCCAAAGAGAUAGCAGAGCUCCAGGGGACCGUGAGUGAGCUGUGGACAUCUGCCAUGCCACAGGGCACCAAUGCCCUUUUACAAUCCCUCCACUCAAGUUAAUAGAAAACUUAACUCAAUCUGGAUGAAACAAGUGGAAUUUGUUGCCUCUUAGCCAAUAAAAUGGAAGUCCAAAGGCGUAAGCACUGUUGUCACAGUCUAAGAUGGUGGCUAGAGCUUCAGUCGUCGUAUUCAUGCUCCCGGGAGCAGGAUGGAGAAAGGAUGAAGAAGAUGUCCAUGAGUCAGCUGUCUUGUAAGGAAGGUUCCUAGAAGCUGCCACAUGACAUUUCUGCUUAUAUUCCAUCAGCCAGGGCGUAGUCACAUGGAUCCGCCAAACUGCAAAGAGACGAUGUAUUUAUGGAGCAUUGUUUUAUGGUGAUGAAUAGGACAGGGAAAGCCUCUGUUUUCAUGGUGCUCAUACGUUCAAGGAAGAGAGUCACCAAAAUCUGAUAAAUAAGAAACUAACUAACUGUGAGAAUAUCACGUAAUGAAAGUACUAUUAGAAAAUGAAACAAGGUGUGAAGGUGAGGAUGAAGGGGAGAGUGAAUGAAGGCCACGUUCAAUGGAAUGCUCAGGAAGGUCUUUUGGGGGAG